RNAcentral lists this ribosomal RNA (253 nucleotides) under uncultured bacterium. RNAcentral describes it as "partial 16S ribosomal RNA". It matches the Rfam family "Bacterial small subunit ribosomal RNA", at positions 524 to 776 of the family's 1533-position model. The record is from RNAcentral.
UACAGAGACUGCAAGCGUUAUUCGGAUUCACUGGGCGUAAAGGGUGCGCAGGCGGCCGUGUGUGUCAGGUGUGAAAGCUCCGGGCUCAACUCGGAAAUUGCUUUGCAUACUGGCAGGCUGGAGGGACGCAGAGGUCUGUGGAAUUCCUGGUGUAACGGUGAAAUGUGUUGAUAUCAGGAGGAACACCCAUGGCGAAGGCAGCAGACUGGGCGUUUCCUGACGCUGAGGCGCGAAAGCCAGGGGAGCGAACGGG